This 871-nucleotide ribosomal RNA is filed under the name Subantarctia sp. MA1. Its description in RNAcentral is "eukaryotic LSU rRNA". It matches the Rfam family "Eukaryotic large subunit ribosomal RNA", at positions 1060 to 1873 of the family's 3401-position model. The record is from RNAcentral. Lineage: Eukaryota; Metazoa; Arthropoda; Arachnida; Araneae; Orsolobidae.
AAACUUUAAAUGGGUGAGAAGUCCGGCUUGCAUGACUGAAGCCCGGACGCCCGAAUGUGAGCGCCCAGUGGGCCACUUUUGGUAAGCAGAACUGGCGCUGUGGGGUUAACCAAACACCGGGUUACGGCGCUCGAUGCGAGACGCUCAUGAGACCCCAUGAAAGGUGUUGGUUGCUAUAGACAGCAGGACGGUGGUCAUAGAAGUCGAAACCCGCUAAGGCGUGUGUAAAAACUCACUUGCCGAAGCAACUAGCCCUGAAAAUGGAUGGCGCUCCAGCGUUGAGCCCAUACACGGCCGCCGUGGCAGAGCUUUCCCCUAGGAGGCUUACGCCACGGCGAGUAGGAGAGUCAAGGCGGCGACCGUCGAAGGUGCCGGGCGCGAGUCCGCCUGGAGCCGCCGCCGGUGCAGAUCUUGGUGGUAGUAGCAAAUACUCAAGUGAGAACAUUGAGAACUGAGGUGGAGAAGGGUUCCAUGUGAACAGCAGUUGAACAUGGGUCAGUCGGUCCUAAGGGAUAUGAGAAGUCCGUUCCGAGGCGAUACGUUGCGUGCGAAGCGUUCUUGUCCCGGCGACGACCGAAAGGGAAUCGGGUCAAUAUUCCCGAACCCGGACGCGGAGAUCGGCCCCUCGGGCCGAAGUGCGGCGACGCAACCGAACUCGGAGAAGUCGACGGGAGUCCCGGGAAGAGUUGUCUUUUCUUUGUAAUGGUCCGGGUUCCUGGAAUCGGCUCGUCCGGAGAUAGGGAUGCUGCUCCCGUAAAGCACCGCGGCUCUUGCGGUGUCCGGAGCGCUCCCGUCAGCCUUUGAAAAUCCGAGGGAGGAGGUGUGAUUUUCGCGCCGGUCCGUACUCAUAUCCGCAGCAGGUCUCCAAGGU